RNAcentral lists this ribosomal RNA (492 nucleotides) under uncultured bacterium. RNAcentral's name for it is "partial 16S ribosomal RNA". It matches the Rfam family "Bacterial small subunit ribosomal RNA", at positions 28 to 507 of the family's 1533-position model. The record is from RNAcentral.
GAUGAACGCUCGCUACAGGCUUAACACAUGCAAGUCGAGGGGAAACGGCAUUGAGUGCUUGCACUCUUUGGACGUCGACCGGCGCACGGGUGAGUAACGCGUAUCCAACCUUCCCAUUACUGUGGGAUAACCUGCCGAAAGGCAGACUAAUACCGCAUAGUCUUCGAUGACGGCAUCAGAUUUGAAGUAAAGAUUUAUCGGUAAUGGAUGGGGAUGCGUCUGAUUAGCUUGUUGGCGGGGUAACGGCCCACCAAGGCGACGAUCAGUAGGGGUUCUGAGAGGAAGGUCCCCCACAUUGGAACUGAGACACGGUCCAAACUCCUACGGGAGGCAGCAGUGAGGAAUAUUGGUCAAUGGACGGAAGUCUGAACCAGCCAAGUAGCGUGCAGGAUGACGGCCCUAUGGGUUGUAAACUGCUUUUGUAUGGGGAUAAAGUUAGGGACGGGUCCCUAUUUGCAGGUACCAUACGAAUAAGGACCGGCUAAUUCCGUG